GCACUGAGACUUAUUAUCCUGCAGCUUCUGGAGCCCUUCGACUGCUGCUGUUUGAAGAAGCCCAGGCUAGCUUAUUGGAUGGUGAGAGGGAUACGGCCUGGUCACCCCUAUGCCCUGGCCCUCAGCGUGCCAGAUGGGACCAUCUAGUUGCAGGGAAACAAGCUGGGGGCUCCCCUUGUUCUACAUUAUGAUAUGAUCCAUGGAUGCACAGAGGGCCUUUGUACUUUGCUGGAGAAAAGCGUGCACACUAGACAGACUCAUCUCCCAUGGAAUCUGCUGACAGAUCUCUCUGGGGACCCCUGGGCAGCUAUGUGUCCAGCACCACCAGUGGCUCCCCAUUUCUGUGUCUUCUUAGAAGAUCUGACAACCCAGCAUACCUCUUGCUGAUGUUAUGGAUCUGCUGGCUCUGUAAACUAUAAAUUGGCAAACUAGAUUAAUCAAAGAGGAAGCUUUCUGCAUGUGUGCUAACAGUCCCAACUCUCUAAUCUCACAAGGCACCAAUGUGACACUUCUUGCUAAAGAAUGUGGUUAUUAAUAUAUCUGUCUUUGGUUUUCUUUUCUGCUCUUGGAGUGGAAAGCCCCUAGAGAAAUAGUUCCAAAAAGAAUUUAUAAUAUACUUGCUGGAGAAAUAAGAUUUAAGAGGGCAGGCUUUCACAUCAAAGUUUCAGCAUAUGGUAAUGAAGGUUUCUGUUCAGACAGGUGGAGGAGGAGCUGCCUACAUUUCCUGCGGGGGGUGGAGGGGAAGUAGGCAUGGCGGUGAGUCCUGGGCUCUCAGACUUUGCUUAUCAUAUUGUAACAGCUGACCUUGGUCCCCUUUUUGGCUCUGUCUCUAACCCACAGGUCAGCCUAGGAUGUCACUGAUUCAAUUUAUUUCAAUGUCAGGUUGUCAGAUAUAAUUUACAUACAGUAACAUUCCGUUCCCCCUUUUCAGUAUGCAGCUCUAUACGUUGUGACAAAUGUAUGCCAUUCUAUAACCACCAUGAUGAAGACACGGAACAUUUCCAUCACCUCAGAAGUUCCCUUGUGCCCCUUGUAGUCAGCUCCUCUUCUCAGACCCACCCCAAGCUGGCAACCACGGGUCUGCUUUCUAUACCUAUAGUUUUCCUUUUUCAAAAUAUCAUAUAAAUAGUCCAUAGGCAUUUUAACAGCCAAGGUGCCUAAUAAAUAGUGCACUGUGACUAUCAUUGUUUUUCUUGAAUUAAAAAGCCCACCGUGGAGGUGGGUACGUGGAGCCUCUCCUAACUCCAGCUUCCAUAAGCAGACAUGUUUCAACAGAUAUCCUUUUCUUCUUUAACAGAUUCAUUGGGUUCAAAUUCUAGUACUGUCACUCAGUAGCUAAAUAUCUUUGGAUAUUUUAUUUCAAUUCUCAAUAACUUUGUUUUCUUAUUUGUAAAAUGAGAAUUUUAGAAUACCUAUCUUUGGAAGCAAACAAACAAACUAAAGUGAGGGACAACAAAAACAAAAGAAAAUUGCAUUGUUCUUGGGAUCUUAGAAAAUAGCAACAUGAAGUUACUUUAUUUUAAAAUUUAUUCAGCUGACAAUACAGGAAUGGCAUUCAAAGCAAGUUACUUAAAUUCUGUGUGCCUCAAAUUCUGUUGUGUAAAUUGGGGAAACAAGUGUACUUCCCUUAUAAGAUUGCUGUUUUGAUAUUAAAUGAGACAUGAUCCAUAUAAGGUCUUUUGAGCAACCUUAAGCUCAAAAGAAAAUACUCGAAAUAUGUGACUUGUCAGAAUUACAUUUGUAUUUAUGUAGCCCAAAUGCAGCAUACAUUUAAGAAUGCUUUAUAAUCUUGCUGCUGAAUUGUCCAUCAACUGAUAUAUUUUUCUUUCAAUUAUUUAUUCUAACUCAUGUGUCCUAAAAUUCAUCUUUUCAAAGUACACAUUUCAGUGGUUUUUAGUAUGUUCAAGAUGUUGUAAUCCGUCCCCAUUAUCUAAUUCUUGAACAUUUUCAUCACAAAAGCAACCCUGUGCCCAUUAACAGUUACUCCCCAUUCCACUCUCACAUCAGCCUGUGGAAGUCACUCAUUAGUUUUCUGUUUCUGUAGAUUUGCCCAUUCUUGGUAUUUCAUAUAAAAGGAAUCACACGGUAUGUGGCUUUUUGUGUCUGCCUUAUGUCACUAAGCAUAAUGUUUUCAAGGUUCAUCUACAUUGUAGCAUGUAUCCAUACUUUUUUCCUUUCUAUGGUUGAAUAAUAGUCUAUGGUAUAGAUAAUAUUACAUUUUGUUUAUCUGUUCACCAAUUGAUCCAACUGAUGGGCAUUUUGGUCAUUUCCAAUUUGGGGCUAUUAUGAAUAAAGUACCUAUGAACAUUUGUGUAUACAUUUUUCUGGGGGUAUGUUUCACCUCUCUCUUGGGUAGAUAACUAGGAGUGGAAUUGCCAGGUCAUUUGGUAGCUCUAUGUUUAACUUUUUGAGAAACUGACAAACUGUUUUCCAAUGCAGCUGUACCAUUUUCCAGUGCACCCACCAGCAAUGCAGGAAGGUAGCAACUUCUUCACAUCUACUCCAGCACUUCACUUGUAGUGGGCUAUGAUUUGUUCUGAUACCCAGCCUAGUGGCUAUAAUGUUAUAUCUCACUGGGGUUUUUAAUUGUGUUUGCCUAGUGAAAAAUGAUGUCGAGUAUUUUUUGCCUGUUUUUAAAUUGGAUUACUUGUCUUUUUUAUGAUUGAGUUGUAAGUGUUCUUUAAUGUCUGGGUACCUGUAAGAUACAUAUUUCCUCCCAUUCUGUGGGUUGAAUUUUCACUUUCUUCAUGGCAUCCAUUGAAGC
Homo sapiens (human) is the source of this 2764-nucleotide long non-coding RNA. Ensembl annotates it as long intergenic non-protein coding RNA 1721. The record is from Ensembl. Lineage: Eukaryota; Metazoa; Chordata; Mammalia; Primates; Hominidae.